Molecule: ribosomal RNA, 492 nt
Filed under: uncultured bacterium
Lineage: Bacteria
Description: partial 16S ribosomal RNA
Rfam family: Bacterial small subunit ribosomal RNA
Source: RNAcentral
AGUGAACGCUGGCGGUAGGCCUAACACAUGCAAGUCGAACGGCAGCACAGUAAGAGCUUGCUCGUACGGGUGGCGAGUGGCGGACGGGUGAGGAAUACAUCGGAAUCUACUUUUUCGUGGGGGAUAACGUAGGGAAACUUACGCUAAUACCGCAUACGACCUACGGGUGAAAGCAGGGGAUCUUCGGACCUUGCGCGAUUGAAUGAGCCGAUGUCGGAUUAGCUAGUUGGCGGGGUAAAGGCCCACCAAGGCGACGAUCCGUAGCUGGUCUGAGAGGAUGAUCAGCCACACUGGAACUGAGACACGGUCCAGACUCCUACGGGAGGCAGCAGUGGGGAAUAUUGGACAAUGGGCGCAAGCCUGAUCAAGCCAUACCGCGUGGGUGAAGAAGGCCUUCGGGUUGUAAAGCCCUUUUGUUGGGAAAGAAAAGCAGCAGGUUAAUACCCCGCUGUUCUGACGGUACCCAAAGAAUAAGCACCGGCUAACUUCGUG